GUAACAAGGUUUCCGUUGGUGAACCAGCGGAGGGAUCAUUAUCGAGUUGCAAAACUCCAGCCCUUUGUGAACAUACCUCAGUCGUUGCUUCGGCGGUGGACGGCCUGUUUUUCGGAACGGCCGGAAGCCGCCGGAGGUUCCAAACUCGUAUUUUUUAGUGUAUCUCUGGGCCUGAAAACAAAUAAUCAAAACUUUCAACAACGGAUCUCUUGGUUCUGGCAUCGAUGAAGAACG
This 234-nucleotide unclassified non-coding RNA is filed under the name uncultured Ascomycota. RNAcentral describes it as "partial contains 18S rRNA, ITS1, 5.8S rRNA, ITS2 and 28S rRNA". The stretch from base 190 to 234 matches the Rfam family "5.8S ribosomal RNA", at positions 1 to 45 of the family's 154-position model. The record is from RNAcentral. Lineage: Eukaryota; Fungi; Ascomycota.